This 253-nucleotide ribosomal RNA is filed under the name uncultured bacterium. Its description in RNAcentral is "partial 16S ribosomal RNA". It matches the Rfam family "Bacterial small subunit ribosomal RNA", at positions 524 to 776 of the family's 1533-position model. The record is from RNAcentral.
UACGUAGGGGGCUAGCGUUGUCCGGAAUCAUUGGGCGUAAAGAGCGUGUAGGCGGCCCGGUAAGUCCGCUGUGAAAGUCGGGGGCUCAACCCUCGAAUGCCGGUGGAUACUGUCGGGCUAGAGUGCGGAAGAGGCGAGUGGAAUUCCUGGUGUAGCGGUGAAAUGCGUAGAUAUCGGAAGGAACAUCAGUGGCGAAAGCGGCUUCCUGGACCAGUACCGACGUUCAGGCACGAAAGCGUGGGGAGCAAACAGG